GUCUCUCCUGCCACCAUGGAAGAAGGUGCUUGUUUCCCCUUUGCCUUCCGCCAUGAUUGUAAGUUUCCUGAGGUCUCCCAGUCAUACUGCUGGUUAGGCCUGCGAAACUGCUGGUCUUGAACUCCCAGCCUCAAGCCAUCCUCCCGCCUUGGCCUUUCAAAGUGCUGGAUUACAAGCGUGAGCCACUGUGCACAGCCAAGACGCAAUUUUAAAUCGAGCGGUCAGGAAGCCUCCUGGAGAAAAUAACAUUUGAACAAAGACAUGAAGAAAGUGGAGAAUAUUUGGGGAAAAGCAUUUCAGGCAGAGGAAAGUGCCAGGGCAGAGGCCCCGAGGCAGAAGGAAGCAACAGAAAACAGGGAAGCAAGUGUCCCAGGAGGAGCCCAAUGCCAUGGAAAGAUGGGAAAAGAGGUGGUGAAUGAGAUCCUGGAUCCUUAUGAACUUUAUCUACUCCACUUGUGCAGAUGAUGGAGGAUUUGAGGAGUGUUGGUGAAUGCUCUGUGUGGACUGGACUGGGACCAGACUGGGACUGGAACUCUCCAGGGAGGGCAACUUUGACCGAGACAUCUUUAGGGUCUGCCAAGUCCUCAGCAGAUAUAUUUUGACGUGCCUUGAGAUCCUCAAAUGAGAAGAGCAGUGGGAUUCUUCCCUCUCCAGCCAGGACCACAUCUGUGCUUUUCUGUAAUUGCGGCG
This 690-nucleotide long non-coding RNA is filed under the name Pongo abelii (Sumatran orangutan). Its description in RNAcentral is "lincRNA". The record is from RNAcentral. Lineage: Eukaryota; Metazoa; Chordata; Mammalia; Primates; Hominidae.